AGCGAACGUUAGCGGCGGGCCUAACACAUGCAAGUCGAACGCGAAAGGUCUUCGGACUGAUUAGAGUGGCGCACGGGUGAGUAACACGUAGGUAAUCUACCCUUUGGCGGGGGAUAACGUUCCGAAAGGAGCGCUAAUACCGCAUAAGACCACGGAGUCUCCGGACGCUGUGGGAAAAGGUGGCCUCUUCUUGAAAGCUAUCACCGGAGGAUGAGCCUGCGUCCCAUCAGCUAGUUGGUAAGGUAAUGGCUUACCAAGGCAAAGACGGGUAGCUGGUUUGAGAGAAUGAUCAGCCACACUGGCACUGGGAACACGGGCCAGACUCCUACGGGAGGCAGCAGUGAGGAAUAUUGGGCAAUGGGCGAAAGCCUGACCCAGCCACGCCGCGUGAGUGAUGAAGGCCCUCGGGUCGUAAAGCUCUGUGGAGAGGGACGAAAAACCUGGGGUCUAAUAAGGCCCGGACUUGACGGUACCUCUUUAGCAAGCACCGGCUAACUCUAGUGCCAGCAGCCGCGGUAA
Molecule: ribosomal RNA, 519 nt
Filed under: uncultured bacterium
Lineage: Bacteria
Description: bacterial SSU rRNA
Rfam family: Bacterial small subunit ribosomal RNA
Source: RNAcentral